GACGAACGCUGGCGGCGUGCUUAACACAUGCAAGUCGAACGGAAAGGCCCUGCUUUUGUGGGGUGCUCGAGUGGCGAACGGGUGAGUAACACGUGAGUAACCUGCCCUUGACUUUGGGAUAACUUCAGGAAAAUGGGGCUAAUACCGGAUAGGAGCUGCUGCUGCAUGGGGGGGGAUGGAAAGUUUCGGCGGUUGGGGAUGGACUCGCGGCUUAUCAGCUUGUUGGUGGGGUAGUGGCUUACCAAGGCUUUGACGGGUAGCCGGCCUGAGAGGGUGACCGGCCACAUUGGGACUGAGGUACGGCCCAGACUCCUACGGGAGGCAGCAGUGGGGAAUAUUGCACAAUGGGCGGAAGCCUGAUGCAGAAACGCCGCGUGCGGGAUGACGGCCUUCGGGUUGUAAACCGCUUUCGCCUGUGACGAAGCGUGAGUGACGGUAAUGGGUAAAGAAGCACCGGCUAACUACGUG
Molecule: ribosomal RNA, 468 nt
Filed under: uncultured bacterium
Lineage: Bacteria
Description: partial 16S ribosomal RNA
Rfam family: Bacterial small subunit ribosomal RNA
Source: RNAcentral